Long non-coding RNA from Acanthochromis polyacanthus (spiny chromis), 398 nucleotides. RefSeq lists it as uncharacterized. The transcript is spliced from 3 exons. NCBI's taxonomy places the organism in Eukaryota, Metazoa, Chordata, Actinopteri, Pomacentridae. The record is from RefSeq and is a predicted model, not a curated record.
GAGAAUUUUAUUGAGUUUUAUUUUGAAAUCGGCCUGAAAUACACAGACAUUCAAGCAGUGCGAUGCGCUAAGAGUCUGCCAUGCAGACCAGCGAUCCUGAUAAUGAUGCUAUCAACAGCAUGUCUUGUUCAUUUUAUUAAGUUGUCGGCCUUGGAUGAUGAGGUCCAGUUACCAGGAGCACUAGUCUGCAGCUUACUGGUUCCGUCCUGCAGCUCCUCCACGCCGUCCUCCUCUCUACAGACCAAAUCAAGAAAAGGGAACCAGGAAGCUGCUUUGGAUCCUCUGCAGUAUCUGGAGAGGUCAGAGGAACGGUUCUUGGAACAGAUCGGAAGACACCAAGACGUGACCUCUGCCAUUCUCCAGAACAUCCAGAAGAUGAAUGAAAACCUUGGUUGCAC